RNAcentral lists this ribosomal RNA (497 nucleotides) under uncultured bacterium. Its description in RNAcentral is "partial 16S ribosomal RNA". It matches the Rfam family "Bacterial small subunit ribosomal RNA", at positions 28 to 507 of the family's 1533-position model. The record is from RNAcentral.
GAUGAACGCUGGCGGCGUGCCUAAUACAUGCAAGUCGAGCGAACGGACGAGAAGCUUGCUUCUCUGAUGUUAGCGGCGGACGGGUGAGUAACACGUGGAUAACCUACCUAUAAGACUGGGAUAACUUCGGGAAACCGGAGCUAAUACCGGAUGAUAUUUUGAACCGCAUGGUUCAAAAGUGAAAGACGGCCUUGCUGUCACUUAUAGAUGGAUCCGCGCUGCAUUAGCUAGUUGGUAAGGUAACGGCUUACCAAGGCAACGAUGCAUAGCCGACCUGAGAGGGUGAUCGGCCACACUGGAACUGAGACACGGUCCAGACUCCUACGGGAGGCAGCAGUAGGGAAUCUUCCGCAAUGGGCGAAAGCCUGACGGAGCAACGCCGCGUGAGUGAUGAAGGUCUUCGGAUCGUAAAACUCUGUUAUUAGGGAAGAACAUAUGUGUAAGUAACUGUGCACAUCUUGACGUUACCUAAUCAGAAAGCCACGGCUAACUACGUG